RNAcentral lists this ribosomal RNA (2904 nucleotides) under Escherichia coli. RNAcentral describes it as "23S ribosomal RNA". It matches the Rfam family "Bacterial large subunit ribosomal RNA". RNAcentral also lists the same sequence under 1 other name. The record is from RNAcentral. Lineage: Bacteria; Pseudomonadati; Pseudomonadota; Gammaproteobacteria; Enterobacterales; Enterobacteriaceae.
GGUUAAGCGACUAAGCGUACACGGUGGAUGCCCUGGCAGUCAGAGGCGAUGAAGGACGUGCUAAUCUGCGAUAAGCGUCGGUAAGGUGAUAUGAACCGUUAUAACCGGCGAUUUCCGAAUGGGGAAACCCAGUGUGAUUCGUCACACUAUCAUUAACUGAAUCCAUAGGUUAAUGAGGCGAACCGGGGGAACUGAAACAUCUAAGUACCCCGAGGAAAAGAAAUCAACCGAGAUUCCCCCAGUAGCGGCGAGCGAACGGGGAGCAGCCCAGAGCCUGAAUCAGUGUGUGUGUUAGUGGAAGCGUCUGGAAAGGCGCGCGAUACAGGGUGACAGCCCCGUACACAAAAAUGCACAUGCUGUGAGCUCGAUGAGUAGGGCGGGACACGUGGUAUCCUGUCUGAAUAUGGGGGGACCAUCCUCCAAGGCUAAAUACUCCUGACUGACCGAUAGUGAACCAGUACCGUGAGGGAAAGGCGAAAAGAACCCCGGCGAGGGGAGUGAAAAAGAACCUGAAACCGUGUACGUACAAGCAGUGGGAGCACGCUUAGGCGUGUGACUGCGUACCUUUUGUAUAAUGGGUCAGCGACUUAUAUUCUGUAGCAAGGUUAACCGAAUAGGGGAGCCGAAGGGAAACCGAGUCUUAACUGGGCGUUAAGUUGCAGGGUAUAGACCCGAAACCCGGUGAUCUAGCCAUGGGCAGGUUGAAGGUUGGGUAACACUAACUGGAGGACCGAACCGACUAAUGUUGAAAAAUUAGCGGAUGACUUGUGGCUGGGGGUGAAAGGCCAAUCAAACCGGGAGAUAGCUGGUUCUCCCCGAAAGCUAUUUAGGUAGCGCCUCGUGAAUUCAUCUCCGGGGGUAGAGCACUGUUUCGGCAAGGGGGUCAUCCCGACUUACCAACCCGAUGCAAACUGCGAAUACCGGAGAAUGUUAUCACGGGAGACACACGGCGGGUGCUAACGUCCGUCGUGAAGAGGGAAACAACCCAGACCGCCAGCUAAGGUCCCAAAGUCAUGGUUAAGUGGGAAACGAUGUGGGAAGGCCCAGACAGCCAGGAUGUUGGCUUAGAAGCAGCCAUCAUUUAAAGAAAGCGUAAUAGCUCACUGGUCGAGUCGGCCUGCGCGGAAGAUGUAACGGGGCUAAACCAUGCACCGAAGCUGCGGCAGCGACGCUGAUGCGUUGUUGGGUAGGGGAGCGUUCUGUAAGCCUGCGAAGGUGUGCUGUGAGGCAUGCUGGAGGUAUCAGAAGUGCGAAUGCUGACAUAAGUAACGAUAAAGCGGGUGAAAAGCCCGCUCGCCGGAAGACCAAGGGUUCCUGUCCAACGUUAAUCGGGGCAGGGUGAGUCGACCCCUAAGGCGAGGCCGAAAGGCGUAGUCGAUGGGAAACAGGUUAAUAUUCCUGUACUUGGUGUUACUGCGAAGGGGGGACGGAGAAGGCUAUGUUGGCCGGGCGACGGUUGUCCCGGUUUAAGCGUGUAGGCUGGUUUUCCAGGCAAAUCCGGAAAACUAAGGCUGAGGCGUGAUGACGAGGCACUACGGUGCUGAAGCAACAAAUGCCCUGCUUCCAGGAAAAGCCUCUAAGCAUCAGGUAACAUCAAAUCGUACCCCAAACCGACACAGGUGGUCAGGUAGAGAAUACCAAGGCGCUUGAGAGAACUCGGGUGAAGGAACUAGGCAAAAUGGUGCCGUAACUUCGGGAGAAGGCACGCUGAUAUGUAGGUGAAGCGACUUGCUCGUGGAGCUGAAAUCAGUCGAAGAUACCAGCUGGCUGCAACUGUUUAUUAAAAACACAGCACUGUGCAAACACGAAAGUGGACGUAUACGGUGUGACGCCUGCCCGGUGCCGGAAGGUUAAUUGAUGGGGUCAGCGCAAGCGAAGCUCUUGAUCGAAGCCCCGGUAAACGGCGGCCGUAACUAUAACGGUCCUAAGGUAGCGAAAUUCCUUGUCGGGUAAGUUCCGACCUGCACGAAUGGCGUAAUGAUGGCCAGGCUGUCUCCACCCGAGACUCAGUGAAAUUGAACUCGCUGUGAAGAUGCAGUGUACCCGCGGCAAGACGGAAAGACCCCGUGAACCUUUACUAUAGCUUGACACUGAACAUUGAGCCUUGAUGUGUAGGAUAGGUGGGAGGCUUUGAAGUGUGGACGCCAGUCUGCAUGGAGCCGACCUUGAAAUACCACCCUUUAAUGUUUGAUGUUCUAACGUGGACCCGUGAUCCGGGUUGCGGACAGUGUCUGGUGGGUAGUUUGACUGGGGCGGUCUCCUCCUAAAGAGUAACGGAGGAGCACGAAGGUUGGCUAAUCCUGGUCGGACAUCAGGAGGUUAGUGCAAUGGCAUAAGCCAGCUUGACUGCGAGCGUGACGGCGCGAGCAGGUGCGAAAGCAGGUCAUAGUGAUCCGGUGGUUCUGAAUGGAAGGGCCAUCGCUCAACGGAUAAAAGGUACUCCGGGGAUAACAGGCUGAUACCGCCCAAGAGUUCAUAUCGACGGCGGUGUUUGGCACCUCGAUGUCGGCUCAUCACAUCCUGGGGCUGAAGUAGGUCCCAAGGGUAUGGCUGUUCGCCAUUUAAAGUGGUACGCGAGCUGGGUUUAGAACGUCGUGAGACAGUUCGGUCCCUAUCUGCCGUGGGCGCUGGAGAACUGAGGGGGGCUGCUCCUAGUACGAGAGGACCGGAGUGGACGCAUCACUGGUGUUCGGGUUGUCAUGCCAAUGGCACUGCCCGGUAGCUAAAUGCGGAAGAGAUAAGUGCUGAAAGCAUCUAAGCACGAAACUUGCCCCGAGAUGAGUUCUCCCUGACUCCUUGAGAGUCCUGAAGGAACGUUGAAGACGACGACGUUGAUAGGCCGGGUGUGUAAGCGCAGCGAUGCGUUGAGCUAACCGGUACUAAUGAACCGUGAGGCUUAACCUU